CCUUCUGUGCAGGAUCUGCCCAGUUUUAUUUUGUAUUGAGAGGUACCACGCCAGUUGUCCCUGGAAGUUAUAUAAAAUGAGUGAAGGUAAAGAAACUCUUUGUCUUCUCUUGAAUAGCCGGAUGUAUCUGAUUCAGGAUCAUCACUGAAGAUAACUAUCGGUUUUUUAUAAACACCAUAGAAAUGAUCCUUGACCUGCCCACCUUAGAGAGCAAUUUCUCAUAAAGAAUGACUAAAUAAUGGGCUGCUCUGGCCACAAAAAGACCACAUGAUGUUCUGUGUGGUUCUGGAUGCCAGGUACCAGAAUAAAAGAAGCCAAGGAGAUUCUGAGAGACUCAGUUUUCUCAGAUGUGGUCUAUAUCACACCUGUUCAAGAAAUCUAGACUGCAGAGAAGUGGAGGAACUUGCCUAAUGUUAUAGAGCCCACAGGGCAGUGAACCGCACCAACAGAAACGCCUUCCGUGCAGAGGAGCUUAUUUCGUGCGCAUCUUUCCCUUACCUCUUAAGAGCCCGGUAUCUAAUGAAGCUUUUUUGCAAAAGGU
This is a long non-coding RNA of Canis lupus familiaris (dog), 541 nucleotides long. RefSeq lists it as uncharacterized. The transcript has 3 exons. NCBI's taxonomy places the organism in Eukaryota, Metazoa, Chordata, Mammalia, Carnivora, Canidae. The record is from RefSeq and is a predicted model, not a curated record.